CCUAUGGGCGGCAGCAGUGGGGAAUAUUGCACAAUGGGGGGAACCCUGAUGCAGCGACGCCGCGGGGGUGAAGAAGUAUUUCGGUAUGUAAAGCCCUAUCAGCAGGGAAGAAAAAUGACGGUACCUGACUAAGAAGCACCGGUUAAAUACGUGCAAGCAGCCGCGGUAAUACGUAGGGUGCAAGCGUUAUCCGGAUGUACUGGGUGAAAAGGGGGCGCAGGCGGCACGCUAAGCCUGAUGUGAACACCGGCGGCCAAACCGCGGGAGUGCAUUGGGAACUGGCGGGCUGGAGUACCGGAGGGGCAGGCGGAAUUCCUGGUGUAGCGGGGAAAUGGGUAGAUAUUAGGGGGAACA
Molecule: ribosomal RNA, 354 nt
Filed under: uncultured bacterium
Lineage: Bacteria
Description: partial 16S ribosomal RNA
Rfam family: Bacterial small subunit ribosomal RNA
Source: RNAcentral